AAUGUUCAACGUCCUCCUGGGAUACGGAAGGCACCGUGAUAGACAUCUGGGCAAGUCAACAGGAAGGUGGAUAUCCAAAUCUCUCUCUUCGCAAUGAGUUUCCAGUUAGAUGGAGGAGAGAGUAAUAAAACACAGAGCUGAGAUUCCUGACUUCACAGAUCCCUGAGGAGAUGUUUACUAAAGGGAAUCUUCUGGUCACUGUUACCUUCCUCCGUACUUACCUGCCUCAUGGAUAACACUGAAGAAUGCAGUUUACUUACAUCUUUUUCUGUUUGACAGAAGACAGUUAUUAGAACCCGAAAGGAAGAAGCUAUACGACUGGGGACACAUGUCUUAGAAGCACACUCAUUAGAUAAAGUGUCGCAUACUCUUUGAUAAGGUAAGGCUCCCUGGACGAGAUGUUUUACAGGUACCAUGAGCUCAGUGAAUUGCUUUUGGAAAGACACUCAGCGGAGUGGGCACCACGAGGUUAGGAGAAGCAGCUUCUGCUCGUCAUAACUUUGGCAAAUGUUUACACAUCAGUAAUGAAAAAUAUUCUCUUGGCGAUUUCAGGCUUGUUACUAUGGAUGUUGUUUGCUAACAUUGACUAUUUUUCCUAACUGCUUAUAGAAACUCCAGGCUGUCACCCAUCUGUUCUCUCAUCAAAGUAGUUUUGGGCCAGCAACUAUUUCAGACAUUUCUACAGUUUCAGAUGUCUCACUCUGCCUAUGACUGUAUGUUGUACUUGAGGACUGGACGCACAGGGUAAAGUGCAAAUAGCAAGCAUUCAGGUCCAACUCUCCUCCUUCUGGUUAACAAUAUGAAAGAAAGAGGUAGUAUCGGAAUUAUUUUAGUUCAAUGUAGCCAUUAUAAAAUGUGUAUAUAUUUUAAAACAUCAUGUGGUACAUGAUAAAUAUAUACAACUUUUAUUUUUCAAUAAAAAAUUAUAAAAAAAGUCAUCAAACCUGAUUUCUCAUACUACUUUUUUGGUAACACUCAUCACACCAAAGACUUAUUAUUUUAAAAUGUUAUUUUUCAUAAUUAAUUUCUUAUUAAUUUUAUAGGCUAGAUUUUAAUUGUUAUGUCUAAAUAGUAGUGUCUGGUACGUGGUAGAUAAUCAAUGUGACUUGAAUAAAUGAAUAAGUCUGUUAACGA
This 1134-nucleotide long non-coding RNA is filed under the name Homo sapiens (human). RNAcentral describes it as "HSALNT0324496". The record is from RNAcentral. Lineage: Eukaryota; Metazoa; Chordata; Mammalia; Primates; Hominidae.